Molecule: non-coding RNA, 1446 nt
Organism: Ictidomys tridecemlineatus (thirteen-lined ground squirrel)
Lineage: Eukaryota; Metazoa; Chordata; Mammalia; Rodentia; Sciuridae
Source: RefSeq, a predicted model, not a curated record
AUUCUGACAAGCUGUCAGUUUGUGAUCACUGUUGAAGUAACUGACACAUCAAUACUUUGAAAAUAUAAGUGUCUGAUUGAAAGAUAAUACUAUAUAGAUUGCAGAUAUAUUUCACAUAGAUAUCUUUUUUCCAAACUAUAAGGCAUUCCAAUUUGAUGGUAAAAAUAUCCAUAUUUCCUUUUUGAAGCAAGUAGAAUAUAAAAUAUUUCACUCCAUUACAAAAAAAGUCAGAACUCACUUCUGACUUACAAAGCAAAGUGCAGGUAUGAUGUGUCUAUCUAGAUACAGGAAGGACUUUUGUUAAUUACUGUGAGUAAGGGAUCAUUGUUAACGGCAGAUUAACUUUGAUUCCUUAAGGGAGAAAAAAAUAUCUUUUCUUCACUCAUCUUAUGUUCAAGGUUGAGGUUCCUAUAACAAAAGACAGAGUAACAAAAUAAAAACAUACAUAUUUAUUAUAAAUUCUACCUGAUUUGAGAAUCUUUGUAAGUAAAAACAGUGCUAAAGAUAUAGCUUAAGUUGUAUCUCUUUAUAUCUAGGUUUGAUAUCAAAAUAGAUAGUCAUGUAAAAAUAAGAUUGGACAAAGGAAUAUGGUCACAGGGUAAUAUACUAGGGGAAAUUUAACUGGACCUGUUCAAAUUAUUCUCUGUAACCCUAAGACUUAAGAGAUAAUGAUGUUCCUUUCCUGUAAGUAUGGGGAGGGCACUUCUCACAAGAGACUCUUUGACAUGCCUUUCGAUAAAGUCAGAAAAUUCUUCCUAGAUUGUAUGGCUUAUUUUCAGGGAGAAGCACAGCAGAUGACCUUCCUACUUCUGUUAUUCUUCUCAAAUGCUGAGGUGCCACAUUUCCAAGAAGCAUUUCCUCUACCUCAUCAACGCCUAUGUGAGAGAAAGAAUCUUGGUAAUGUGACCUUUCUUUGGAGACCUGGACUCUCAUUCCCUCACUGAACCUGAAUAUCCAAUAAAGGAAAGAUAGGCAUGAGAACAGAGAGGAGCCUUGGGACAAUGAAGAAAAGUAUUGGGAUGUUCUACAAUUGUGGAUUUACUGAAAAGAAAAAGACAUUUUCAUAAUCCAAUCUAGUAUCUUUUGGAGUAUACGAAUGUGACACUAGAUAAAUUGAUUUGUUUGGCCUAAACCUACCUCUAUACCUAUUUUUAAAUUGGUCCAAAGCUUUCUCUGUACUAGUGACUGCAACUUAAAUUAAUGGAGGAGAGAUUGAAACCUAACCGCAAAUAUCUCCUGCAGGAAGAAACUGAGUCUUAACCAAUCAUAGCAACUGACCCUCUGGCAAAUCAGUGGGUGAAAACUGGCAAAACAUGACAUAUCAGGCAAAACCACAUGCAGUCAAUGAGGUGGUUUCUGUAUGUGGCUUACUUUUUCUGGCUAUAAAUGUAGCCUGCACAUGUGGUAGAGGGAAGUAUUCUAUCUCAAUUUUGGUAAAGUUUGUGG